UUGUGCUUCCUUCCAUGGUCUGUGGCAGCUCUGCACUUCCCAGGUCUCAUGAGAAAUAUAACAUUCUGUUGACUUGAAAUGACAGCACCGAGUCACUAAGAAAAUUGCCAUCACAAGAUGUCAUCACUCUCCUACUGACCCACCUUCUUCUAUGGCACAGGAUCUGAAUCACUGCCUCAUCCACAUGAAGCGUCUGUUGCCCUGUUAGCUGCUGAGAAGAACUAUGUUUCCUGAGGUGUAAAUAAAUUGAGAAUUGUCCCAAGAAACAUCAGCUCCAUGGCAUCUAUGGCCUUCUCUGGACUAUUAUAUAUCAUUAAAAAUGUGAAUGCUUCGUUCUUAGGAUAUUUCCUGCACAAAUCUGAAUGGAUGCAAUUCACUGAGUGUUUUCUUCUGAAGAAGAUAUUUGAAGGAGGAGCUUGCACAACUGUAAGGUCAUCAUCAUUGUCAUGUUCCCUGCUUCAGGUAUAAUAGACAAUAUGAAGAACAUGUUUCUUGUUAAUAGCUUUUAAUGAUACAGCUCUCAUGGUCCAAGUAAGAAGUUUUGUACAAAAUGUCAAAACAGGAAGUAUGUAAUGCCUGGCUGCCCGCAAGUUUGAGGUUUGGAGAUCUUUGCAUCUCCAUGUGUGGCUCGGCACAUCUGGCCUUUGUUAGUAGUCUGUAGAGACUCCCAAUUCAUUUCUCC
Molecule: long non-coding RNA, 682 nt
Organism: Nothoprocta perdicaria
Lineage: Eukaryota; Metazoa; Chordata; Aves; Tinamiformes; Tinamidae
Exons: 4
Source: RefSeq, a predicted model, not a curated record